RNAcentral lists this ribosomal RNA (467 nucleotides) under uncultured bacterium. Its description in RNAcentral is "bacterial SSU rRNA". It matches the Rfam family "Bacterial small subunit ribosomal RNA", at positions 12 to 510 of the family's 1533-position model. The record is from RNAcentral.
UUUGAUCCUGGCUCAAAACGAACGCUGGCGGCAUGCCUCCCACAUGCAAGUCAAACGAAGGCUUCGGCCUUAGGGGCGCACGGGUGAGUAACGCGGGGGACCCUGCCCUUUGGUUCGAAAUAACUCCGGGAAACUGGAGCUAAUACCGGAUGAGCCCUGGGGUUGUGGAAAUCACCGGGAAAAGAUUUAUCGCCAAAGGAGGGGCCCGCGUCCAAUUAGGUAGUUGGUGAGGUAACGGCUCACCAAGCCAACAAUCGGUAGCUGGUCUGAAAGGAUGAUCAGCCACACGGGGACUGAAACACGGCCCAAACUCCUACGGGAGGCAGCAGUGGGGAAUAUUGAACAAUGGGGGCAACCCUGAUCCAGCAAUGCCGCGUGAGUGAUGAAGGCCUUAGGGUUGUAAAGCUCUUUCGCACGUGACGAUGAUGACGGUAACGUGAAAAAAACCCCCGGCUAACUUCGUGCCA